UACGGGGGGGGCAAGCGUUGUUCGGAAUUACUGGGCGUAAAGCGUGCGCAGGUGGUUUGUUAAGUCUGCUGUGAAAGCCCCGGGCUCAACCUGGGAAUGGCAGUGGAGACUGGCAAGCUAGAGUGCGGUAGAGGAUAGUGGAAUUCCCGGUGUAGCGGUGAAAUGCGUAGAUAUCGGAAGGAACACCAGUGGCGAAAGCGGCUUCCUGGUCCAGCACCGACGUUCAGGCACGAAAGCGUGGGGAGCAAACAGG
This 253-nucleotide ribosomal RNA is filed under the name uncultured prokaryote. RNAcentral describes it as "partial 16S ribosomal RNA". It matches the Rfam family "Bacterial small subunit ribosomal RNA", at positions 524 to 776 of the family's 1533-position model. The record is from RNAcentral.